GCUGUCAGAAGAACUGGCCCUUCCCAGGUCUUGGUGUGGUUCCCAGGAGGUGCCUUCAAGACUGGCUCAGCCUCCAUCUUUGAUGGGUCCGCCCUGGCUGCCUAUGAGGACGUGCUGGUUGUGGUCAUCCAGUACCGGCUAGGAAUAUUUGGUUUCUUCACAUACUGUCUCCCAUGGCCAAAGGCUUAUUCCACAAAGCCAUCAUGGAGAGUGGGGUGGCCAUCAUCCCUUACCUGAAGGCCCAUGAUUAUGAGAAGAGUGAGGACAAAACAAAGUCUUUCACUCGAGUGGUUGAUGGUGCUUUCUUUCCUAAUGAGCCUCUAGAUCUAUUGUCUCAGAAAGCAUUUAAAGCAAUUCCUUCCAUCAUCGGAGUCAAUAACCACGAGUGUGGCUUCCUGCUGCCUAUGCACAUCCCGCCUCAGUAUUUGCACCUUGUGGCUAAUGAAUACUUCCAUGACAAGCACUCCCUGACUGAAAUCCGAGACACUCUUCUGGACUUGCUUGGAGAUGUGUUCUUUGUGGUCCCUGCACUGAUCACAGCUCGAUAUCACAGAGAUGCUGGUGCACCUGUCUACUUCUAUGAGUUUCGGCACCGGCCUCAGUGCUUUGAAGACACGAAGCCAGCUUUUGUCAAAGCUGACCACGCUGAUGAAGUCCGCUUUGUGUUCGGUGGUGCCUUCCUGAAGGGUGACAUUGUUAUGUUCGAAGGAGCCACGGAGGAGGACAAGUUACUGAGCCGGAAGAUGAUGAAAUACUGGGCUACCUUUGCUCGAACCGGGAAUCCUAACGGGAACGACCUGUCUCUGUGGCCAGCUUAUAAUCUGACUGAGCAGUACCUGCAGCUGGACUUGAACAUGAGCCUCGGACAGAGACUCAAAGAACCGCGGGUGGAGUUUUGGACCAGAACCAUCCCCUGAUCCUGUCUGCCUCCGACACGCUCCACAGUCCUCUUUCUUCCUUAACUUUCCUCUCUCUCCUCCAGCCUUUCUUUUUCUCUUGUGCUCCUUGAGAAGUUAUCUUUCUGUGAUUUUGGUUUCCCUUCUCCUCCUAUAAUUUCUCCCGCAAU
This 1066-nucleotide small RNA is filed under the name Pan troglodytes (chimpanzee). RNAcentral's name for it is "processed transcript". Lineage: Eukaryota; Metazoa; Chordata; Mammalia; Primates; Hominidae. The record is from RNAcentral.